This 245-nucleotide ribosomal RNA is filed under the name uncultured bacterium. RNAcentral's name for it is "partial 16S ribosomal RNA". It matches the Rfam family "Bacterial small subunit ribosomal RNA", at positions 524 to 767 of the family's 1533-position model. The record is from RNAcentral.
UACGUAGGGUGCGAGCGUUGUCCGGAAUUACUGGGCGUAAAGAGCUCGUAGGCGGUAUGUCGCGUUGUUCGUGAAAACCGGGGGCUUAACCCUCGGCGUGCGGGCGAUACGGGCAGACUUGAGUACUGCAGGGGAGACUGGAAUUCCUGGUGUAGCGGUGGAAUGCGCAGAUAUCAGGAGGAACACCGGUGGCGAAGGCGGGUCUCUGGGCAGUAACUGACGCUGAGUGAGCGAAAGCGUGGGGA